Molecule: ribosomal RNA, 446 nt
Filed under: uncultured bacterium
Lineage: Bacteria
Description: partial 16S ribosomal RNA
Rfam family: Bacterial small subunit ribosomal RNA
Source: RNAcentral
GUUAAGAAUCUUGCACAAUGGGCGCAAGCCUGAUGCAGCGACGCCGCGUGGAUGAUGAAGGCCUUCGGGUUGUAAAGUCCGGUAAGCAGGGAAGAAUAAGCAACGGGUAAUAUUCGUUGUGAUGACGGUACCUGCCUAAAGCCCCGGCUAACUACGUGCCAGCAGCCGCGGUAAUACGUAUGGGGCAAGCGUUGUUCGGAAUUAUUGGGCGUAAAGGGCGUCUAGGCGGGGGAUUAAGUUAGAUGUGAAAGCUAUGGGCUCAACCCAUAAAUUGCAUCUAAGACUGGUUCUCUUGAGUCCGGGAGAGGAGAGCGGAAUUCCAGGUGUAGCGGUGAAAUGCGUAGAUAUCUGGAAGAACACCAGUGGCGAAGGCGGCUCACUGGCUCGAUACUGACGCUGAGGUGCGAAAGCGUGGGGAGCAAACAGGAUUAGAAACCCCAGUGUCC